RNAcentral lists this ribosomal RNA (251 nucleotides) under uncultured bacterium. RNAcentral describes it as "partial 16S ribosomal RNA". It matches the Rfam family "Bacterial small subunit ribosomal RNA", at positions 525 to 776 of the family's 1533-position model. The record is from RNAcentral.
ACGUAGGUGGCAAGCGUUGUCCGGAAUUAUUGGGCGUAAAGCGCGCGCAGGCGGAUCAGUCAGUCUGUCUUAAAAGUUCGGGGCUUAACCCCGUGAUGGGAUGGAAACUGCUGAUCUAGAGUAUCGGAGAGGAAAGUGGAAUUCCUAGUGUAGCGGUGAAAUGCGUAGAUAUUAGGAAGAACACCAGUGGCGAAGGCGACUUUCUGGACGAAAACUGACGCUGAGGCGCGAAAGCCAGGGGAGCGAACGGG